UGAGGAAUAUUGCGCAAUGGACGAAAGUCUGACGCAGCAACGCCGCGUGAGUGAUGAAGGCCUUCGGGUUGUAAAGCUCUGUCUGGGGGGACGAUGUGGCCGUACUAAUCCUACGGUCGUGACGGUACCCCCGAAGGAAGCACCGGCUAACUCCGUGCCAGCAGCCGCGGUAAUACGGAGGGUGCAAGCGUUGUCCGGAAUUACUGGGCGUAAAGCGUGUGCAGGCGGCCUAUCGUGUCGGGUGUGAAAUCCCACGGCUUAACUGUGGAACUGCGCCCGAAACUGGUAGGCUUGAGUGCGGGAGGGGAUGGUGGAAUUCCCGGUGUAGAGGUGAAAUUCGUAGAUAUCGGGAAGAAUACCGGUGGCGAAGGCGACCAUCUGGCCCGUUACUGACGCUCAGACACGAAAGCGUGGGGAGCAAACAGA
Molecule: ribosomal RNA, 426 nt
Filed under: uncultured bacterium
Lineage: Bacteria
Description: bacterial SSU rRNA
Rfam family: Bacterial small subunit ribosomal RNA
Source: RNAcentral